UGCAGUCAGAACGAUGAUGCCCAGCUUGCUGGGCGGAUUAGUGGCGAACGGGUGAGUAAUACGUGAGUAACCUGCCCUUGACUCUGGGAUAAGCCUGGGAAACUGGGUCUAAUACUGGAUACUACCUCUUACCGCAUGGUGGGUGGUGGAAAGGGUUUUACUGGUUUUGGAUGGGCUCACGGCCUAUCAGCUUGUUGGUGGGGUAAUGGCUCACCAAGGCGACGACGGGUAGCCGGCCUGAGAGGGUGACCGGCCACACUGGGACUGAGACACGGCCCAGACUCCUACGGGAGGCAGCAGUGGGGAAUAUUGCACAAUGGGCGGAAGCCUGAUGCAGCGACGCCGCGUGAGGGAUGACGGCCUUCGGGUUGUAAACCUCUUUCAGUAGGGAAGAAGCGAGAGUGACGGUACCUGCAGAAGAAGCGCCGGCUAACUACGUGCCAGCAGCCGCGGUAAUACGUAGGGCGCAAGCGUUGUCCGGAAUUAUUGGGCGUAAAGAGCUCGUAGGCGGUUUGUCGCGUCUGCUGUGAAAGCCCGGGGCUCAACCCCGGGUCUGCAGUGGGUACGGGCAGACUAGAGUGCAGUAGGGGAGACUGGAAUUCCUGGUGUAGCGGUGAAAUGCGCAGAUAUCAGGAGGAACACCGAUGGCGAAGGCAGGUCUCUGGGCUGUUACUGACGCUGAGGAGCGAAAGCAUGGGGAGCGAACAGGAUUAGAUACCCU
Molecule: ribosomal RNA, 721 nt
Filed under: Kocuria sp.
Lineage: Bacteria; Bacillati; Actinomycetota; Actinomycetes; Micrococcales; Micrococcaceae
Description: bacterial SSU rRNA
Rfam family: Bacterial small subunit ribosomal RNA
Source: RNAcentral